AAAAUUUUAGGUUAAUAAAACCUUUAACCUUCAAAGUUAAGAAUUAAAUGGAUAAUUUAAAAUUUUA
Molecule: transfer RNA, 67 nt
Filed under: Agenioideus sp. SJW-2017
Lineage: Eukaryota; Metazoa; Arthropoda; Insecta; Hymenoptera; Pompilidae
Description: tRNA-Trp
Source: RNAcentral